CACACAUACACUUAUACAUAUUAUAUUGUAUAUAUUAUUCCAUAUGUACUUAUAUGGAAUAAGAGGGCUUAUUUGUUUGCAAACCUAUCAUAUAGAACUUAAACACAUGUCAGACACCAUUCUGGGCAUUAUACAAAUUCCAGGUCAUUUAAUACUCAUAGCAACAUUAUGAGGCAGGCUGCUACUAUUAUUCUUAUUUUAUAGAUGAGAAAUGGAGGCACAGGGGUAGUUAAGUGACCUGCCCAAGAGAACACAGUUUAUGGCAGCAUUAGGCAGGCUUUGACUCCAGACAGUCUGAUCCCAGAGUCCAGGCUCUGACAUAAUUUGAACCUUUGCCUCCUUUUUGUGGUUAGAUUUUAAAUGUCUCCUAUGAUCGCCAUGAUUCCCUUCCCUGGAUGGAAAGAGUCCAUUCGUCUAGCGUGCCAAAUGAAUGGCUGUGAGUUUCACCAAGCAAGCUGACUGAAGACCGUCAGCAAGUAUCUACUGAGCAUCUCUGUGGCUCAGACCCCAAUUUGGAUAAGGAAGAAGGUCGAUGGGACCAGAAUUCCUGCAGAGGGGAUGUGAGAAGAAGGAAGAACGCAAGGGUGGCUCCAAGAUUCACAGCUUCGGCGGCUGGAGGACUGGCUGCAGGAGCACUUCCUAAGUGACCGAGGCCAGAAGAGCAGCAGGCGUGAGAGAAAGGUCCCAGAUGUGAUUUUAGCUUCGUUAAUUCUGAGAUGCUGCGUUAGUUUUCUAUUACUGCUGUAACAGGUUACCACAAACCUAGCAGCUUAACACACACAUAUGUAUUAUCUUAUAGCUCUGUAGGUUAAAAGGCGACACGGGUCUCACUGGGCUAAAAGCAGGGGUGUGGGCAGGACCACGUUCCUUCUGGGCGCUCCAGAGGAAUCUGUUUCCUUGACUUUUCCAGCCUCUAGAGGUUGCCCAUGUUCCUUGGCUCGGGGCCCCUUCCUCCCACCCCAGAGCCAGCCAACAGGGGCAAAGUCCUUCUUGUAGGGCACCUCCCUGACUUUUCUGUCUCUUCUGCUUAGAAGGACCCUUGUGAUUACAUUGGACCCUCUGCCUGCCGACGAUCCAGGGGGAUCUGCCUGUGAAGGAUGGAAAUAAAUUAGGUGCUGAGCUCACAUGCAGGAUUUUGAAUCUAAUAGAAAAGAUGAAAAAAGAAAGAAAAACAUGAACCUUUUUCGUCUUGCUGAUGCCCUGGUUUUGCUGGUGGGUGAGCCUUUGCUUACUUACUCUGUGUAAAGGAUCCAGCCCUUUGUCCGGAAUGUUUCCUGUAUGCGUCCUGCCAGUCAGCGGGCCGGGCUGUCGCUGUCAGACUGUGUGUCUACAGCAGACUCCUGGAGAAACAGCAUGCUUAUGUCACGAGCCACGUCUGUCAUGGCAGGAUCCAUGUUUCUCCUCAGGCUAAUCAUAUCUGAUGCAGGCACCAGGGCUCCCCCCCUUAAAAGCAAGGAUACCAGCUUGGGAAGAGGUGCCUUAAAGAUCAAAACCGGGUCUGCGGCAGUGACAUGCGGGUUUGUGAAUCGGGAAUGGCAGCGUCAAAUCUCUCCUGAAGCCAGGAGACAGCCGUUGGCCGGCAGAAACGGAGCACGGGGCGUUGCUGGCUCCAAUUAGGGAGACACGAUUUGCAAAGCGGCCAUGUUCACGGGCGGUGUUCCGUGAAGUCCUGUACAGAACGCUAGAAAAAUCAUCGAGGAAGGAACAGGUGACGUGUGAGAUGCAAGCAGGUCUGUAUCUCACACGAGACAAGAGCAGAAAAGAGUUGCCUCUUCCCACCUUUCACUUUGAGGAGAGAUGGUUUUGCUCUGGACGGGCUGGGUGGUUUUUGUUUCUAUUAGGGAGAACAAGGGAGCAGGAGCUAAGAACUGAGAUUCAAACCUGGUAAGAUGAUGAUGGUGAUAAUCAUCAUCAUCAUCAUCAUCAUCAUCAUCAUCAUCAUCACUAUGUUCAUUUAGGGACCUUAAAAUAAUUAUUGUUUAGAGGCUCAAAUAAUAAUAACAAAAUAGUAACAUAUUACUUAACAUUUAUUGGUACUUAUUAUGUGCUAGUCAGUCUCUCUUAAUCCAUUUAAUCCUCAUUAAAAACCAUGCUAGAACUUUUCACUACUUAAUUAUUCCUUGACAUAUUGAACGCUUAUUUAGCCCACACUCUGUGACACACGGUUCAAGCUAUUUCUCACAACACCAAGAGGUAGGUGCGGUCAUCCUCUUGCAGACACUCAGAGAGGGUGAGUGGUUUCCCAAAGCCAUCCGGCUAGUGGCUGGCAGGAGCUUCGAAUUCAUAUCUAGCUCAUAAUUUUUCCUUCAUCCCGGACUACCUCUCAACCCACGCCCCCCACCCCCCAACCCGAUGUUUCAGCAUGUAUCAGUACAGGAGCCCUUGGGGAAGUCCCCAAGCUCACUGUCCCCUCAUUUGUGUCAUUAUCCUUUGUGCUGAGAAGUUAAAUGGGAGAUGACAUCAAAUUCCUCAGAUGACACAUAAGUACAUUCCAGUUGAAUCGUGCCCGGUGUGUUUCUCUUUAUACUGGAACCUCAAUAAUAUAGUAAUCCAGUCAUUCAUUUUCAUCAGGAUUUAAGUAACAUAUAGUCCACAACUACGUGUGUGGUGAACGUAGUAUAGUGUUGUCAAAUCAAAAUGUUGUACACUUGAAACUAGCGUAACACUGUAUGUCUGUACUUCACUUUUAUAGACAUACAUAUAUACAUACAUCUGUAUACACACAUACACAGAUACACACACACACAGCUAGAUAUAAAAAUAGCACUAAGAGUCAUGGCUUUGGAUCUGUUCGUGUUUCCCUAAAGCACAAGCUUUCCCUGCCUGUGGUGUCAACAAACAUCUUCCUAUCUAAGGGCUGAGGAAUGGAAGGUACAGAUAACCUAACAGGAACCAUACUUAGGGGGUCUUGAACAGCCCCUAUGUUACAGUCAUUUCAUGUCACUGGGGAAAUUCAAAAUAGAAGUUCAUUGUGAUUUCAGAUAUUCAUCACGGAUGUGCUUAUAGAAAAACCUAUCUGGUGUAGUAAAAUUAGGAUGAUACAAUCUUUCUGGUCAUUUCAUGCCUGUCACUGAAAUGUAUUUUGUGGAAAGUCUGAUGAAAUCAGCCACAACUUUUUAAAGAAACAAUCCCAUCUACGGUUUGGACUAUGUAUGUUUAGACAUGUGUAACAGUGAAAGUGAAUUAGAAAGUACUUGGUAAACUUUGUUUUCUCCCAUAACUAUGUCUAUAAGCAAACUAAAUUCAAUGACCUCUUUUACUAAACUCUUCCAGAAUUCUAUUGGUUUCGUAUUUACAUCCAUUCUUCUUUAAUUAAAUAAAUGAAUGUAUAAUCACGAUUUAUGAUUAUACUCUGUUUUGCCUUCAGAAGGAAAAUGAGGCAUGUAUACAUUCUGAUGGGAAGUGAAAAAAGAAAAAUAAACCUAUGAGGUGAUAUGUAUAAUGAAGAGCAAAAAUGUGUGAAAAAAAUUAAGGUGAAACCAAAAUUAAGAUUAACAUACCAGUCGCAUGCCAUGAGGUCCUAAGUGGAUGAUAAAGAUGGGCCAUAAAUUUAGUUUUGAACUUCCUGGUGGCCAAAGCAAAAAAGACAUAUUAUCAUUAGUUUAUUCAUUCAAGGAAAAUAAACUAAUCUGCUAGUAUUUGAUAGGUGCCCUUGAGGGCAUUAUCAUCUUCCAAAGAUUAUAAUGCAUCAUUCAAGAGAUGCACAUCUUUUCCUAAUGUUAAGAGCUAAGGGAAAGUCCUCUUGUGGAUCCUCAUAAAACAAGUCUAGUUGAUUUUUCUAUUGUGCAAUGACAAAUAAUUGCAGUGAGUCGAUGAAGCGGUGGUAAUGAUGUAUAUAAAGUACAGAGAGAAUGCAGGAGAAGGACAUGUGAGUCAGCCUGAAGAAAUGAGAGUCCUGAUGACUAGUUAGCAUUUAGGUCAUUCUUGAGAACUGAUGAAUUACCCAGCAGAGCUUUCUGGUAUUCCAAGCUUGCAAAGAGGACAAGUACACAGGAAUGUGUACAUGCCAAUGAAUGUUCAGGGCUUCCUAGUAGUUCAGGUUUGCAUUUGUAUAAAUUUUGAGCAACAGAUAAUGAUGGAUGGGGAAGCAGGAAGUCAGAUCAUUAAGUGCCUUGAGUGUCACCCAAAAUAAGUAAAACUUGGUUUGCUGCAAAUGAGAGCUAUUGAAGAGUGGCAAUCAGAUCUGUAAGUUAGAGAGGAUAGAGGGGGAAAAAGUGCUGAGAAAGUUGGGGAAAGAUUGCCUCCUGAAAGGAAGAAAAAGGAAGUAGUGUAACAGCCAGGGUCAGAGGCGAUUAUGUAGGCCUUGGCCUGUGGAGGUCAAUCAUAGAACAAGAAUGAUAAGAGUAGAUCCAGGAAAUAUUUAGGAGCUCGGAUAUUCAUGCACGGAUUGGACUGAGAAGUCUCCACUCACACUGAUGUAAACAUGGGACAGUUUCAUCUUUCCCAAGCAGCUUCUAAUUACCGACUUUCUUUUUCUCCUGAGAAGCAGACUCUGCAUGACAUCUUAGUAUAAUUUCAUAAUAUUUUGGUCACUUGGGCUCUUAAAAAAGCUUUUUCUGCUCUUCAGAAUUCUCCUCCCUCAGCACAGAUAAGACUUGUGGGAAGGGGCUCCUGGUUGGUUCUUUUCAUUACCACCCCUGCGUUUUCCCUCCAGUCAUACCCCUCAAGCCCCGACCUGCCAAUGGCAGAGUGUGAGGGAGGAGGGGCACUGGCUUCCCUGAACGGCACAGAUUGCUCCUGACAGGCACAUCAUCCCCCUUCUCUUGGCUACUUCGUCUCAGGGCAAAGCUGUCCGCAGACAGACUUCCACCUGUCGGUCCUCUUUUGUGGGUACAUUUGUUUUGUGGGUGCAUCCCUUGCAGUCCUCUGACCUGGGAGAUCUGGCUUGGCCAUGGGCCAAUUCCUCCUUCCCUAAGGCUCCCAUACCUCCCAGACGCCCAGCAGGAGAUCUGUUCACCCCCCAGUUUUCCUGCUGAGGAGGACCCCUGAACCACGGAAUGCCCCUGGCCCAUGGUGGGGUGGGGUGCUGGAGCCAGAAGUGUGACGUGAGCCUCAGUCCCCGGUUGAAGAAGGGAAAUGUAGAGUCACACAUCCUUGCAUGGGAACGCGGACUGCAUCUUUGGGCUCCCUGUCUUGGCUGCCCCUUUCUUCACACCCAACGCCAUUGGAGGUUCUACCAUUUUGAUGGCUCAACAACUUCCAGACAAGCAUUUUUCACCAGUCCCCACUCAGUGUGACAUGGAAAGGGAAGGUUUCGACACCUGUCAUCUUGUAGGAGAGGGACGGAAAGGGUGAAUAUUCUUUAUAGAGAGAAGUGAGACCUGAAUGGGAGGGCUACCAUUCUCCAAACUCUGCCUGUCCCCAGAAGGUGGGGACCCCUUCCUCCAGGUCGUGCUUGUGCCUCUGGCUGAUAAAGACCACCAAAGCAGCUUCUCUUGUACUGGGGGAAAACUGAGGGUCUCACCGGCAGAAAGUAGACGUGGUCCUCACCGUAAUGCCUCGCCCUACUGAUUACUUCCAGACACGGGAAGCAAUGUCAAUCCCUAUCUCACACAGCAUUUUGUUAUAUAACUUCUGGAAAGACUGAAUGUGAAUAGUAAAGAGCCAUAUAAAACAUCCCCAAAAUUUUUUGCCCUGGGAGACUGAAGGGGUAGUGGCAUAAUCCGCCAGGGCAAGUGACACGAAGAGAUGAAGUUGAGGGCAGAUGACAAUGUCCUCCAUUUUAGACGUGUUUAGUCUGAGGUGUUUUUGGCAGAACCAGGUGGAGGUGUUCGGACGCAAGUUGGUUCUACGUAUUUGUGCCUCCAAAGGGAGAAACUCGGGCUGUAGGUACAGAUUAGUAGCUCACUGGCUCGGAGUUGAAGCUACAGAUACUGAUUUCAAAACCACAAGCUUCUCCUAAACUGGAACGAAAACUCCGUUUCUCUCCCAAAUUUGAAAAUUUUCAUAGGAUUGUAGAACUUCACGAGGGAAACACCUCAGAUGUCAUCUCUCUGGUCCCGCUGAUUAUCUUUAGGUAAACAGUGCCUAUCAACACUACUGUAGUUAAAUAUUAGCUUGGGAAUUUAAUUAUCUGAACAAACCCCAAACAAUGUAAUUGUUUUGUAUUAUGUUUAAAAAAAAAAGCCAUUCCUCAUAGAGAUGCAUUUGUGUGGCAGUAAAGAUUCUAUAAUGUUUGUUUCGUGUGAUCAAAGCAGCAAUUUUACCCUCUGAUCCGAGUAUCAUUCCUUAUGGUUUGGGAACUUAGCAAUUAAGACCACAGAUUAUUUUCUCGGUAUCCAUCACUUUGAUAAAUCUUAGGCAGCUACAUGAGUUCUUUAAAGGAAAUAAUAAAUCUAACAAAUAUACCUGAGUGACCAUUUCAGACUAUAUUUAUCCCCUGAAAUCUAAAGCCUUCAUUAGCUUUCUCCAAAGAGUUCUCAUAGAGAGUUAGAGCAUAACUUCAAAUGAUAUUUUCCAAAUUUUUUGAGAUCCCUUACUGGGAAAGAGUCACAGACAUGUUCUUUUACUGAAUGAGAUUAAAUUACACCAACUCUUAGAAAGAGAAUGCUGCAUUCCUAUCG
Molecule: long non-coding RNA, 6563 nt
Organism: Acinonyx jubatus (cheetah)
Lineage: Eukaryota; Metazoa; Chordata; Mammalia; Carnivora; Felidae
Exons: 5
Source: RefSeq, a predicted model, not a curated record